GGCGAGUUAGCUCAGUUGGUAGAGCACGUAGAAACCCAAGAUUCAAGUACUUGAAUCUUACAGCAACAAUAACUCAUACACUUUUAAUGUCGUGGUCGUUGGUUCGAAUCCAACACUCGCCGCCA
Molecule: transfer RNA, 125 nt
Filed under: Erwinia phage pEa_SNUABM_12
Lineage: Duplodnaviria; Heunggongvirae; Uroviricota; Caudoviricetes
Also listed under: 3 other names
Description: tRNA-Lys
Rfam family: tRNA
About the family: Transfer RNA (tRNA) molecules are approximately 80 nucleotides in length. Their secondary structure includes four short double-helical elements and three loops (D, anti-codon, and T loops).
Source: RNAcentral